This 460-nucleotide ribosomal RNA is filed under the name uncultured bacterium. Its description in RNAcentral is "partial 16S ribosomal RNA". It matches the Rfam family "Bacterial small subunit ribosomal RNA", at positions 338 to 795 of the family's 1533-position model. The record is from RNAcentral.
CCUACGGGAGGCAGCAGUGAGGAAUAUUGGUCAAUGGGCGGAAGCCUGAACCAGCCAAGUAGCGUGCAGGAUGACGGCCCUACGGGUUGUAAACUGCUUUUAUACGGGAAUAACGCGCCUUACGUGUAGGGCUUUGCAUGUACCGUAUGAAUAAGGACCGGCGAAUUCCGUGCCAGCAGCCGGGGUAAUACUGAAGGUCCGGGCGUUAUCCGGAUUUAAUGGGUUUAAAGGGAUCGUAGGCCGCAUGUCAAGCGUGCUGUGAAAUGUUCGGGCUCAACCCGGGCCUUGCAGCGCGAACUGGCGUGCUUGAGUCCGCGGAAAGCAGGCGGAAUUCGUCGUGUAGCGGUGAAAUGCUUAGAUAUGACGAAGAACCCCGAUUGCGAAGGCAGCUUGCUGCAGCGGAACUGACGCUGAUGCUCGAAAGCGCGGGUAUCGAACAGGAUUAGAUACCCCUGUAGUC